Molecule: long non-coding RNA, 2248 nt
Organism: Mytilus californianus (California mussel)
Lineage: Eukaryota; Metazoa; Mollusca; Bivalvia; Mytilida; Mytilidae
Exons: 2
Source: RefSeq, a predicted model, not a curated record
UAGAAAUGUACUGCUAUUGAAUUGUUGUCUUCCUGUACUCAAAUUCAACGACAACUUUUUCUUAUGCAGUGACUGUACCAUGCCAAUUCCAGUCCAGCAGAUAUUAAAGAUACUGCUAUCGUCAGAAUAAAAAUGUUUAGUCAUUGCUUCCAUGAAAGAAUAACCUCAUUGUCCAUUAUCGUCCGUUUUAUCCAUCCUCAGUUGUUCAUUUGCAUUCUCUUCUUCAUGUUUAAUGAUAUAUUUAUACUCCUGCGUAUGUAUUCUAGGAUAAUCCAUCUACAUGUAUAUGUAUAGAGUUGUUUCAAUUUCACCACUAUUCUAUAAUGUCUUUACUAUUGAAUGAACGAUUACCUCAUAUUUCAAGCUUCUGAUAAACGUCAAUAAUCUUGAGUAAGGAAUUAAGUCCGAUUUCCUCCAUUUCCUUUACAGAUAUAAUAAUUACAAACUUAUCAAUGCAGUCAUACGUUUAAAACCAGUUCAUUCUGUUCUAUAUCAAGAAUAGUAUUCGAUGCAUUAAGGUGGUACAUAACACUACUGGGAGAUAACUCUGUAAAAAUCAGCUGAACGUUUUAAUCACGUUCUAUUGUUAAGGAAAUAUUAAGCUUCACAAUGAUCAAAAUUAGUGUUUGCCAAACUGCUAUAUAUCCAAUGAAAUUUUUUUCCGAUAAAGUGUGUGGUUCAAGUUUUUUGAAAUUUUUAUAUUUUUGUCAAAGGGUCAAAGUAAAUAUUUUGUCAAAAUUUUAUGAAAAUUAAACGAGCCAAAUUAAUUUUAGUCAAGAUGUUUGGUACCUUCUUAAACCCUCCAUUUUAGUAAAAUUCUCCAAUUUUGUUCUUCAAACAAUAAUAACUCUAUAACCCCUAUAUACUUGGGAAGUAUAUUUUUUAUUUAUGAUUUUGUUUAAUUAUUCUGUAAUUUGAAAUAUCACAUAGUCCUAGUAGUUGUUAAAGGCACACUUGUAAUCAGUAUUAAAUGAAAUUAAAUAUGAUGCUCAAUUUCACUUCUGAUGUUUUAAACUACAGUUUAAGAAGUUAUCUUACAGUUGUGUAAAAGGGAUUAUAUAAACACGCAUAGAAAAGUCAAAGUCUCUGUUCAGCAAUAAAAAUCACAGCCAUUAUAAAACUCUUUGGAAUCAAACACUGACAAUUUCAAUACAAUUUUUACAAGUUUCUGACAUAACACCAUUUAGACAUUUUAGUAGAAAGAAGUCUCAAUGCAUAUUUUAUUGAGGAAACCCCAAAACACAUUAUUUUUUCACCUAUUGAAAGGUGUUUCGUUACCAUGCAUGAAUAUAACUUUGAUUUACUGGUUCCAAAACUUUUUCUGGUAAACAAAUAAUCAGAUAUCGUUGAAAAAUGAAAAGAACAUUAUGUGUAGUAAAAAUUCCAUUUUACUGGUGUCAUAAGUUUUUCUUUUACUGAUUUUGAAUGCAGAUGUCUUUGAUAAACUCGGAAAGAGUUUGUGCAAUGUGUACAAACAGAAACAUAAAUAAUUUAUAUGUCUCUAGUACACAUCAGUCCAUUAAGUUGAACAUGUGGCCAUUAAGUUUGUUUAGGGUGUUAUAUCUGUGUAUAAUUGAAAGUGAUAAAGGGUCAGGUGUAAAUGAUAAAAUGGUUAGUUGAUAUGUUAAUACUAUUCAUCGGUUUUAGUUUGUACCAAUUUUCAUAGAUCAAGGUAAAUUUGUAUUUUCGUGGAGAUUGAUUUCGUGGUUUUGCCAAAGUUUGCAUAAAGCCUAUAAACAAUUUUGAAAUUCGUCGAAUAUUCGAAUUUGUGUUUCAUCUGUACACACAAAAUCCGAGAAAAUUGGUAUUUAACGAAAAUCAAUGAAUCCACAGUAACAUAAGAGAAGAAAACUUAUUGAAUGAUUUGUUGAAAGGGCACGUGCAAUGUUGAAUUUAAUAUAUAAAUGAAAUGUGUAGUUGCAAUUUCCUUACAGUAUCAUGAGUAUAUCAAUAUGAUAUAAUCUUGGAGCAGCAAUCAUAAUUUAUGUUAGAUAUGAGUUAUGUUUGUAAAAUAAAUGACUUUAUACAUAUUUAUUUUGUGCAUAUGUCAGUAUGUGUUUGUGGAGCAUAUUACUUAAUGGUGGAUACAAACAAAUGCAGUGACUUUACCCUUUUUAAUUAUGAUAAGCUGCUGGUUAGAAGUACAAUUUACUGUUGUUUAUAAGUAACUUAUUUUGCAUCACUAAAAGUUAUCGUCUUUUGUUAAACAUGCAAAUUUAACCCGGAAAUAAAGCCUUAAGUAUCAAUA